RNAcentral lists this ribosomal RNA (515 nucleotides) under uncultured bacterium. Its description in RNAcentral is "bacterial SSU rRNA". It matches the Rfam family "Bacterial small subunit ribosomal RNA", at positions 777 to 1297 of the family's 1533-position model. The record is from RNAcentral.
AAUAGAUACCCUGGUAGUCUUGGCCAUAAACGAUGAUCACUAGGUGUUGGGGCUUUGCCUCGGUGCCGCAGCUAACGCAUUAAGUGAUCCGCCUGGGAACUACGAGCGCAAGCUUAAAACUCAAAGGAAUUGGCGGGGGCCCGCACAAGCGGUGGAGCAUAUGGCUUAAUUCGAUGCAACGCGAAGAACCUUACCAGGGCUUGACAUGUAUCUGCAAGCACCCGAAACGGUGUCGCCUUCGAGGGUGAUACACAGGUGGUGCAUGGCUGUCGUCAGCUCGUGUUGUGAAAUGUUGGGUUAAGUCCCGCAACGAGCGCAACCCUCAUGUUCUGUUACCAGCGAGUAAUGUCGGGGACUCGGAACAAACUGCCUCUGUAAAGAGGAGGAAGGUGGGGAUGACGUCAAGUCAUCAUGCCCCUUACGCCCUGGGCUGCACAUAUGCUACAAUGGCCGGUACAAAGAGCUGCCAACUCGCGAGAGUGCGCAAAUCUCAAAAAAGCCGGUCUCAGUUCGGU